AGAAGUCAGGACUGGAACUCAGGUC
This 25-nucleotide unclassified non-coding RNA is filed under the name Mus musculus (house mouse). Its description in RNAcentral is "oocyte_clustered_small_RNA7608". Lineage: Eukaryota; Metazoa; Chordata; Mammalia; Rodentia; Muridae. The record is from RNAcentral.